UACGAAGGGGGCUAGCGUUGCUCGGAAUCACUGGGCGUAAAGCGCACGUAGGCGGCUUUUUAAGUCGGUGGUGAAAUCCUGGAGCUCAACUCCAGAACUGCCUCCGAUACUGGGAGCCUUCGAGUCCGGGAGAGGUGAGUGGAACUGCGAGUGUAGAGGUGAAAUUCGUAGAUAUUCGCAAGAACACCAGUGGCGAAGGCGGCUCACUGGCCCGGUACUGACGCUGAGGUGCGAAAGCGUGGGGAGCAAACAGG
RNAcentral lists this ribosomal RNA (254 nucleotides) under uncultured bacterium. Its description in RNAcentral is "partial 16S ribosomal RNA". It matches the Rfam family "Bacterial small subunit ribosomal RNA", at positions 524 to 776 of the family's 1533-position model. The record is from RNAcentral.